CCUACGGGUGGCAGCAGUGAGGAAUAUUGGUCAAUGGGCGAGAGCCUGAACCAGCCAAGUCGCGUGAAGGAUGACGGCCCUACGGGUUGUAAACUUCUUUUGUCAGGGAACAAUUGAGUCCACGUGUGGUCUUAGCGAGAGUACCUGAAGAAAAAGCAUCGGCUAACUCCGUGCCAGCAGCCGCGGUAAUACGGAGGAUGCGAGCGUUAUCCGGAUUUAUUGGGUGUAAAGGGAGCGUAGACGGUGCGCCAAGUCUGGAGUGAAAUGCCGCAGCUUAACUGCGGAACUGCUUUGGAAACUGGCGAACUAGAGUGCGGGAGGGGUAAGCGGAAUUCCUAGUGUAGCGGUGAAAUGCGUAGAUAUUAGGAGGAACACCGGUGGCGAAGGCGGCUUACUGGACCGUAACUGACGUUGAGGCUCGAAAGCGUGGGGAGCAAACAGGAUUAGAUACCCCUGUAGUC
Molecule: ribosomal RNA, 461 nt
Filed under: uncultured bacterium
Lineage: Bacteria
Description: partial 16S ribosomal RNA
Rfam family: Bacterial small subunit ribosomal RNA
Source: RNAcentral